Molecule: long non-coding RNA, 11049 nt
Organism: Taeniopygia guttata (zebra finch)
Lineage: Eukaryota; Metazoa; Chordata; Aves; Passeriformes; Estrildidae
Source: RefSeq, a predicted model, not a curated record
AUUCUACAUAUCUUUUAAACAUACUGAAACUUCAGAGAAGCUGUAGAAGUUAAACUCACAAAUUUUUGCUUCAAACAUCUGCAGUUCUUCAAUGGGGGAACCUUCAGAAGCUCAAAUGCCUGGACAAAAUACACUUUAUUUGAAUGUGCACUUAGAUUAACUGAUCCCACAAAAGCCAACUCUGUUCAUUUAGGCCAGGAAUUACCCAAUUUGCUCACAUAAUCUCAGCAAUUACACGUUCAUCUUUUUUUAAAUAUCAGCCCUAUGGUGUGAUUUACGUGGUAUGUGAUCUUUUAACUUAACCUCAAAGAUAUUAAUCUUUAUUAAAGGGUAUGAGAGGCAAAGAGGGGGAAGAGAAGCUGGUGACAGAUACUCUGACAGUGAGGAAAAGUAAUUUAUAAAGUGAACAUCAGUAAACAUUAGGAGUGACAUAUUGAUAUCAGCAGCCAGGAAACGGCUGGACGAGCUAGGAUGAGGUAUUACACCUUAAAUUGUGGCAACCAUAUUUUUUUCCCAAGGUUGAUCUUUUAUAUUUUUUAAAGAGAAAUUUACUAUUAUGCCUCCUGCUUCCCCGGUGGUAAAAUGCCAGAAAUUUGACUGAGAUUUACUUAAAGUGACAGCAAUGCCCCACUUUGUCCAAGAAAGAUGAUCACUAAAUGUCACGUCUAUCUACUCUCAUGUGGAUCACUUAUUUGACAUGUUCAUGUCUCAGCUCCAUAGCAGUUUGCAGCAUGUUUCCUGGUGCUCUGAGGCAGUCUGAAAUCUUUGUGGUGAAAACCUGACCUGGCCAAAGGCAAAUCAUUAAAAUAAAUAAAUAAUGCAGUUGGGAUUCGCUGCUCUCCAUUUCAAGGGUGUCAGGCCAGAAAAAGGCAUAAAAAGCCCUCACAAAACCAGACCAAGAGCGUAUGUUUCUGGUCAGGCUGCCAGAAAGCCACGCUGGUGGGAUGCUCUUGCAAUCUCAGCUGACAUAGAACCACAGCAAAAAAGCAAAUACUGGUGUUUAAACACAGAAAAUAAGCUCAUAACCUCAUUUACUCUUUUAUUUAUUUUUUAGGCAAUCUGAAAAAUGGCACACUCUGAACCAGGGCAGAGUGUGCAUUUUCCUAUUUUGCUGCAGGACCCCACUUUGCUGAAUUCCUGGAGGAAGAGAUGCAAAACCAGCUGGGUGUGAGGGAACCAUCAGCACGAGCUCCUGAGCCAAAAUAGGAGCUGAAGCCCCAGAAAGUGGUGGGGUAGAGCUGUGAAUCCUAGCAACAGGCGGGGAAAGAACUGUACAUUUCUUCACGUCCUCCAAGUGUUGUUGCCUUCUGGUACAUCAUUGACAGGAAGAGACAGAGACCAUGGAAAGGCCCUCCUUGCUGAUGAUCAAGAAAGGGCACAUUUUUUCCAGUGGGAUGGUGAAUUAUUGCAGUCUUGGGGGGAAAACAAGCAAAGCAACACCCCACAGUUCAUACUGUUGUUGCUGUUGCAGUUUCCUUCAUCACAAGGCACUGCCUUUUGCUGCAGGGCUUUUUUUUCAAUUUUCUGUGCUCUUAGUCUUUUUUUAAGCCCUUCUCAGUGAUAAUGUGGGCUUUUCUUUUUAAGUGAACUAUGAAAAUUUGCACUCAAAAGUGUGAGCAUAGGGUUCUGCCAGAAAAACCCAUCAUUCUGUGGCCUGCAAUGAAAUCAUGGGUGAUAAAAGCUUCCACCCAUGUUCAGCAGAGAGGGAACUGAAACCAGAGCACUUUUCCUGGAAGAAGAGGCUCCUGCUAAAUAUGUAGCAGUCUUGUCUUGCCAAUAUUAAACUAGCUUUUCUUCCUGGAGAGCCUGUCAAUACAGUUUGACCUCUCUCUGUGGAUAUUCUUCAGAGCCUGAAGCACUCAGAUAAUCUGAAUCCCCAGUACCAUCCUGGGAAGGUGGGUUUCAGUCAAAGAAAAAGUCACAGAGCCUGGGACAAAGAGCAAGGGGGGAUUCCAGACUCCUUGCCCCCAUCACUGUGCUCAGAAAUGCACCAUUUCCCUGCUGAUGCCAGUUUGUCUGGGUUUGCCACCAGUUUUGCCCUUGGGAGAAGCUUGCAGACUCUUAGGAGCUCUGCCUGGAUGUAAACUGUGGGAAGAGGGGUGUGGAGAAAAGCUGGGGGUGUGUAACACAGCCUGCUGCUUCUGUUAAAAACCAAAUUUAUGGAAAGUAGCACUAGUGAGUUGUUGCAUUGGACUGGACCAGCUGCUGCAAAGAGGAAGCACAGCCCUAGACAAGGUUGCAGCAGAAGAGAUUUGGCUCCCAGCUCCCACCAAAGCUGAAGAAAGGUUCUGCAAGCCCUUCUGCCUUUUGGGACAUGUUCAAAAUUCACCCCCUUCCUGGAGCAGCUCCCUACAAAAUUUUCUAAAAAGAUUUCUUGCCAGGAGAGGGGAAGUUUCUUUUAUUAUUGGGGGUUUUUUGCUUGCAAUUUCAGUCUCCGACCUCAUUGAAGGGCUCUGGCAUUUGCAUAACUUCCCACGGAAACUGAAUCAAUGUUUGACAUCAUGGAACAGAAUCUCAGGCAUGAUUUAGCAUUAGUAAGCCACCAGUCAUCAGCACACUGUCAUUCCCCUAUAGCUGACAUCUUAAUAGAGUCAGCCUCAUGCACACACAUGUUCACCAGCAGCAAAUUCUUCUGCUCUGGCCAUGCAGGAGCUUUUCUUUUAACAUGGCCUUGCACAUAUGAACAUCCAAAAGACACUGGUCCAAUAUGAUCAAUUUCCAGGGCUCCAAAUGCAUUUUCCCUUUAGGUAAGAAGGCAAUUUUAAGUCCUCUUAAAUAAUUGAAGAUACUCCUGAUACAAUCAAAAGUCAAGCUCCCCAAGAUGAAAAUGUCUGGAUGAUGAAUAAGUUAAUGGAACUAAAAUCCCAGUCGUGGCUGAUUAGGGGACCAGGAGAGUUUAUCAGAGAUGGGAAUGUACAAGUCCAGACACAGCCUGACCUUGUAACAAAUGAGAGCUGAAAAGCAAUUAAUUGAGAAAUUAUCAGGGAAAAACGAAGUUGUAUGGUUGGUUAGCUAAAGCAAUAUGUCAAUGGGCCAGGGAUUGAUUUGCCUGGAAUACCUCAAGGUCUCUGUUCUGAUGAUUCAGGACUUGAAGGAACUGGCCCGAGCCAAGCAAUAAAAAUAAAACAGGGUCAGGAGAGGGAGUCAUCAGUCAGCACUAGGGAUCAUGUAUUAUUUAGCUGGUAGUUAAGGGAAAUUAUCAAACAAGAGCAGACUUUAAACCCAAGUUUUUUUCCCCGUGGGAGGGAAAAUAAAGGGAGAGAAAAUAAAAUGUUCCUUUGUACCAAUGCUCACUGUCCUCAGCCCAAACACUGAGUUUGGGAGCUGGGUCCUGGGAGCAGGAGGUGCCAGGGUUGAAUGUUCACAGGGAGGGAUGAUCAGUCCUGACAGUGGGCAUCAUUUAUUGCUGAGCUAUUUCCUCCCUUCCUGCUGCCAACAGGCUGCACAGGACCUCUGCACACACCAGGACCUGCCCCAGGCCACCAAACUAACAGUGAACCUUUAUUUAUCUCAACUUGGACCUUGAUUUAUAUCAACUCAUCCACACAUCAGCUUCCCACGUCCUAUAUAUUUGGGAAACUCUUGGUGGGACCACAACUUGUACAUGUUGAUCUGAGCUGCAAAACGUGUCUGCAAACACAGUUUUCCUCCUUCAAAGGUGAGUACAAAGCUCUUGAAUGAGACUGUAGUAUCCUGUAGCUCAGAGGAGCAGCAAAGCAAAUGAAAACAGCAAAACAAAUGAUAUAUAAAGUCUUCUAGAAAGAUCAGUGCGUUGGGUGAGAAUAGCUGUGUCUUGUGACACUUCACUAAAUAACACUAAACUCUGUCUCUCCCUUGCGGAAGAAAGAAGAAAAAUCCCACAGAACCAGCCAGUACAUGUUCUGUGGCAGGAUCAGGGCCUCAGACACCACAAACUGUUCCUUUUUGGGAUCAAGAUCCUGAGAUGCUGCAGAAAAUUUUUUGUUGGAAAAUGCAGCUAGCUUUCCCAUCAGGACAACAGUUUAAGUUCUGGGGUUUUCUUAUAGAAAAGCUUUCUAAAUACUUCAGAUUUGACAUUGGGUCUUUUUUUGUCAUGUUCCCCACUAAUCAAAAUUAGAAAAAAGCUGUGAUUUUAGCUUGUUGCAUUUCAAUAUGUAAUGAAUACAAGAAACUCCAAUAUUUCACUGCAAAUAGCCAUUGCUGAUGCAAAAAUAAGUUUCUAAAAGGAAAUUCCAACAGCAGCUGUGAGAUAAGGGAACAGCUUUAUCCCACUGCCUAUGGACAUAUCUGAACACAUUUCUGGGACUCACAGCAUGUCACGCUCCGUGUAAUGCAUUUUCCAUUUGUCCUGACCUGAGAGCUUUGCAUUCAAGGAGCAGAUCCCCCAAGUGAAUUCAUCAGGAGGAAUAAUAACCAAUGCAAGGGCUUGGGCUGCUGGGCCAGCAGAUCCAUCCUGCAGUUGUCAGUGGGAUGAAAUUCAGGGUGGCACAAAGGACACAGCAAUAUUUUCCCAGUCUAUUUUAUUGAAAUGCAAGAGAAAGGUUUCUUUUUGGGGAUUGCAUCAUUCCUCUCCUCUGAGGCCAAGCUGCUGCACAGUCUCAGUGCAGCAUCUGGGAGUUUAGGAGGUGAUGGUGGAGGUGCUGGAAUAUCCCAGCACUAAUCACCUAUUAUCACCUUACAAUAAUUAUCAAAGCUGAUUCCAAAUAAAUCCUCUUUGGAGCAGGUCCUUGGCUGGCCCUCUGCUCUGCAAAGUGCAAACACAACCACCCCCAGUAAAACCAGUGGAAUCCCAAAUGUGACCUCAGGUUGCAUGAAGCAGUUAUCUGGGUAUAAUCACUGGGAUGGAAUAAAGUCAUUUUGUUCUGCUAGGAAUCAGGAGAUCUUUUUUUGGAGCAUCCUGCUCCACAGAAGCUGUGCUGGACUGCACUCUGAUCUCACAAAGCUGGGAGAAAUUCAGAGAUUUGGCCUCUUUAUUUUCUUUACGGCUUUCAAUGGCAGUCAAAGACUUUCAGUAUAAAGGCUGUGAUGCUUUAAGAUUGUCACAACCUGGAAGGGCAGGAAAAUGCCCAGUCUGGAGUCUGACACAGUUUCCAUUGUAAAUUAAAUGGCGAAGGACCAGCAAAGGCAUGAAGCAGUUCACGCCAGCAGUACUUUUGUGUAGUAGUGCUAGUGUGAACUUUUGUGUGCCUGAGCCCACCCAGGAAGGGGGAGAUGGUCAGGUACCACUGGCUCCAGGUGCCAUGACCCACACCCAGGACUCUGAAGGAGUGUGGUGUGUUCCCAGCCCUCCCAUACAUUUCUUAUAGAAGUUCAGCUGAACCAUUCAGCUCCUCUUUUAUCUCCAUGUCUUGUUAAAUGUGGAAUCAUCCUAUUUUCAUUCCCAUUCACCUGAUGGUGGGUGGGAUCACAGUCCCAGGCACCACUGCAGUGGGGUGUCUGGGAGCACUGGUCCAUACUUGCAAUGGCAAAUUUGUGUCUGUGAUUCUGUGGGGAGAAGGAAGUCAUUCAAGCAGGCAGGCUUUGGGGGUCUAGGCUUUCAAAUAUUGGGUACUGGCCUCAAAAAGAGCUUGGUAUGAGAGACAGGCUUAGUUACAUCUCUACAUCCCACAUUUAGGCUGGUUGCUGUUGUUGCAAAGGGUUAACAGACACUGCAAAACAUUUCUAGGAUGAAGUGCUAAGAUUUAGUGUACUGAAUUAAUUCUUAAAUUAGAACAGGGGAUUUGCACAUGAUUUCUAAGGGAAAUUAUCUUCUGGGUAAAAUUAAUACAGGAGAUGUUUCAACAUCUGGGAUGGCAUUAUUAUAAGCAAUGAUUACCCAGACAUUGCCAAAAGAAAGAGAUCACAGUAAACUGUUUCUUUUCCCAAGCAAAGUAAGCUCCUCACCCUGAAGGGAGGAGAAUAUUUGCAGAGCCUUGGCUUAUUUGGAAAUGCACAGGAGGAUUCUACAUGAGAAAAAGGCUGCCUGCUUUGCUGAUGGAUGGUUGGGAAGCAGAAUUGCAGACAGGGAAGGCUCUCUCUGCAGGUGGGCUCCAGGCACCCGCCUGCCUCCCUCUCCUCUGAGCUCCUCAUCAAAAAAAGGUGCUUAAUGCAGUGCUACAGAUGUCCAGGUGCUUAAUGUUGGGAGGUUAAAGAGGAAACACACUGGCAGACGUGACCUGGAAAACCUCCAAGAGGGAGGUUGGUCCUUCUGCUCCUCACCCGGAGACCACAGAACUCCUCCAAAUGCCUCAUCUUCCUCCAGCCUUCAGAGGGGCAGCUUUUCCCUGGCGAAAUUUUAAAUAAAGCAGAGAGUAAAGCUAAAGCAAGACCUGCAUCAAAACAAUCACACCCCAGGAGGAGCUCAUAAAUAUUUAUUUUCCUUCAGUCUAUUUCAUUUUGUCAGGAAAAGAGGAGGGCGCUUGAGUGGGAAAAGGAGACCAGUGGCACAGUGCUCCUUUCACAGGGAAAAACACCAAUGUUUAAUUUAAAAGGGCAUAAAUAUAAAAGAAAUGCCUCUUUACUCUCGUGUUAGUAGCUGACUAUUAAAUUACAUCACAAGUGCUACGUGUGGGACCAGGAGAGUGCACGGUUAUUUCUGUCUCCUAAACCGGAGUGCAAGUCUCAGCGUAAUUACUCUGGAUCCAAGUGUAAUUACCAACUGAUCUGCAGGAACAUAGACAGCAGUGACAUCCAUCCCGGGCAGCAGCAGAGCCUGCUGAUAACACAGCAUCAUUAACACAGCUUAGCACUUCCCUCCGAGGCUGCAGCCGUGCUUCUCCUCGGAAAGGGCUCGCGGGUCGGUGGCCGGGAUGGCCCAGGAGCCACCUGAGCUGCUGCCCCACCUGUGCCAGAGCUGGCAGCAAACCAUGAUACCCUAAUCAUGGGAAAUUAGCCUGGGACAGAGGGUUUUUUCCCAAGAUGGAUCCUCUUGUUUUGGUAUUUCUGCAACCUGCCCAUUUUUCCCCAAAGUCAAUGAUGAGAAGGAGGGUGCUGAGUCCCCCUGGGGUCACCAUCUUUUUGUUUGGCUUUCUUCUUUUUAUUCUGCUUUACUGUGACAUCAUCAUGCUCAGAUUUUGGAAUAUUUUCUCUAGAGUUCACACCUCAUCUAUCUUCUUUUGGAAGACAGUGGGUUUAAGGAUAUUCUUUUCUUUAUUCUUUAUCUUAUUUUUUUUUCCAAGGCUGAAAGCAUCACAGUAAACAACCUAUUUAUUCUGAUGGUCUUGGAAGCUUUCUCUACAACUCCAAGAAGGUCAGAGAAAUGAUUCAAAAAGAGAAAAGGAGAGAAAAAAAAUCCUCUUCUCUUGUCAUGAUUGCCUGUUUUGUUACCACACCUUCUUAGUGCUAUGGUGUUGCAAAGACAAUGCAAUGGACCAGUGUAGAAAUGAAGAUGCACUAAACAUAAAUAAAAAUGAUUUCUUUUUUCAAGUUGGUGUUUUCAGGUAUUUUUAGUUGUGUCCAUUCUAGCUCAUAAACACAAACAAAUGAAAAUAUGAUAAAACAUAAUUUGACAUAAUUUCCUGUAAAAAGUACUGAAACUAAGAUUAUGCAAACACACAAGAAAAUAUCUCCCAGCUCCUGUGGGUAGCAAUGCAUUUGCUCCCAGCUCAGGGUCAGUGAUGGUAAAGUGAGAUUGACAGGGUAACUAACCCCUGAAGGAGGUUUUCCAUUUUGGUUAGUCCUGCUAAUCCAUGCUUGCUGCUUUGAAUGAGCUCAGUUGCACAGAGAGAUCUUAUUUUUUUCCCUGAAUCUGCUCAUGUGUUGGUUUUAUCUGAGCAGCUCCGCAGAUGUCAGUGAGACACAUUUUGUUUUGAGUUACAUCAGCGUAAAUCACAACUGAUCCAGUGAACUCAGAUACCCUCUUUGCAGUGAGAGCUGUGACACAAAGAGUUUGGUGCCACGGUAUUGUGACAGCUUAAAGCCCCUCCACGAGGAAACAAAGUCAGGCUCAGCGCUGUCCUGGAACACAUUACAAAGCAUGUUUGUUAUUGCACAGAAGACAGCAUUUGCCUUGGCUGUGAACAAGAAACCAGAUCUGUAACAGCUAAGAUUUCAUCUCUACCAUUUAUCCAAUGAGCUUCCCAAUCCUCUUGCACAGAUACCCUGCUGCUAACAUAGCAGUCAAGAUCAGAGCACUUAAUCAAUCACUCACUGAGGACAAAUAUGCGUAAUCUAAAUUAGAACAAACCCAGGCAUAUUUUACAUGACAGCCCUACAGAUUUUUAAGAAAAAGCAUUGGCAAGAAAAUUGCAUGAGAACAAAAUUGUUUUGUGUUUAUGCUUAAAGUGGUAGAUUUCCUAAAAGCUUCUGUGGUAUUAGGUAGCCUUGAAUAUACAGGGGCAAAAUUCUGCUUUCACUGCUUUGACUUCCACAUUUUCAUCAAUAAACCAGGGAUGCAUGUGGUCCCUCUGGCUCUGAAGCAGAAAUCCUGCUGCAGACCUCAGUAUGAUGUAGAGUCCUUCUUAAAAACCUUUCAUAUUUUAUGAUCACUGUCGACUCUCUUAUGAUCAGUGUUGGUUCAAGCUUUCAUGAAUCAAAAAUCAGCUCGUGGAACGCAUCUUAGAGCAACCUAUUUGUCUGCAGCUAGCAAAGGAAAGUGGUACUUUGAAGAAUAAACCCCUCCGCCUUCAGAACGAUGCUCAGGCUGCACAGGAGGCUGGAGCAACUUACAGAUUCUAUUCAGGCUCCUCUCUGGGCAUGCUGGGUGACCUUGUGUUCUCCCAUUUUCCUCUGGGGGAGAUAUUAUUUAUCCCUGAUAAUAAAACACAGGAUUCUUCAACUGCAACUCAUGGUUUAAUCUAUUGUGUCAACUUACACAAGCUCCCUUGGAAAAAAAAGAAAGAUCAGAGGCAAUAAAAGGAGUAAAAAAUGAAGCAUCUUUAACUGAAGUCAUACAACUUUCAUCUGAGGUCAGGCCCACUUUGCCCUGACUCUGCAGGGUGGGAUCUCCAGAGAGGAGCAUCCCAGAGAUGGCCUUUGAGAGUGGGUGGCAGCUUUUGCACAGCUCACAGUGCCCAUCAGCCUUGGAGACCUUGGAGCUUUGGGUACAAACCCAACAAGCAGCAGGAAGGCUGAGCCCAGCCUCUGUCAGGGCAGUCAGCACUGCCUCCUGAAAGGAGGAGUUCUGAAAAAAUGCUGGAAGUGUCUGUGCACACAUCCCUUCUCCAUGCACCUCUGCAGAUCGGGCUCUAAGGUGUCCCUUUGUUGAAAUUCUGUCUCUGCUUCUCCAGAAGAAGCAAACAGUCCAACAAAAGUUCACACAUCACCAAACAUCCCAUGGAGACUGAAUUUCAGUUUAUUGCCCUGUCUUGGGACUUUUAAAUAUCUAUUUCACUUCCUGCAUGAAAGCAGGUCUGAUCCAGAGUGCAGCAGGACUCAUUUGCUCUCCUCUGACUUGGUUUUGGAGGGAUCUGUGAGAUUUUCCAGGGACAACUGUCACACUGUUCUCCCAGUCAGCUUGCUGAGGUGAGGCAUUACCAGCAUGGGCAGGUUUGAUCAAAUUUGUUAGAGAGAUGCUGGCAAAAGCAAUGAUCUAAUAUUGCAAUUAAAGGCAAUGUUGAAUACCUACUCCCAGAAAAGUUUGGGAGAAGCCAUACAGAGGACUUGAGGACUUUGGAAAACUUUAUCUCGGAUGUGCAAGGAGGGAUUAGUAUGCCUACUUGCUUAAUUUUGCAGCCAGAGGUCAAUUAUGGAUUUUACUUGGAUCUCUCAGCUUCAAAGAUCAGCUCUGAAUAUGAAGCUUCUUUCUGCUUAAGGACAAGGCAGAGACUCUGCAGGUAGCAGCGACCUGGAAGCAGGAUUCCCACUUUCCACCAUCCAGACAAUUUCCAGAAAUCACUUUGCAUUACAUUUUGAACUUAGAUGCUCAGUUAAUUCCAGACAGAUCCCCGUUAAAGUGCCUCAGUGCAUGGCCUGGCUUUUUUGAUUUUUUUAACUUAACUUUAUUUUUUUAACUUCUCAAGUUUUGACUUGGUCACUUGCCUGGGAGGCUGCUGUGUGAAGGUGCAUGAGGAUGGACUGGAGCAUCUAAAUGGAGGCCCCCAAACAGGAGCAUUUUUCCCUUAAUCUUCCCUCACCGCUGGGAAUAAUAAUUCCUUGCAGGGCUGUUGCACAGCUUGAUUCAUUAAGGCUUAUGAAGUGCUUUUAGCUCCAGCACUGAAAGGCUCUGAGCAAGUUAUUUGGGACUGCUCAGGUGUUAGGAGGAGAGGCAUUGCAGAAGGAAUACAAAUAAAUCAAGAGAAACUGCCCCUUCCUCCCAUGCAUCCCCUGCCCAGCACUGUUCUCCAUCACUGUUGGUGUCAAACAGUUAAUUUACAAGCCCAGCACUUUACAAAGCCCCUGGAGCACCAAUUGUCCCUUUCUCAUGCAACAUCAGCUCCUCAAAACAGCCAGCUGAGUCUCCGGGGUCAGCCUGCUCCUGCCCUUCCCAGGGCAACUCCAGCCUCUCUCUGGAGCCGCCUGGGCAUUUAUUUUUGGACAAGUCAGAGCCAGCACCACCCCCCUGCAGCAGGAUGUGCAGAAUAAGCCCGGGGUGCAGGCUGCCAUGUGCUUGGCCCAGGAGGGGACACUGGCUUGGGGAAGGUGACCCAGAUGCCCCAGCCAGCCCAUCACCCAUCAGGGCAUCCCCAGCGCUCAGCCUGGCAGGACGAGCCAGGAGAGCCACAGGCAAAGGACCAGGCCCAGGGCUGGGGAAGGUGAAGGCAGCAGAUCUUUCACCAGGCUUUUCUUCCCCCUCCCUCCCUCCUCUCAGCCAGUCUUCCUCCCCUCCUCCAGUCUGUUGCACAGGAGCUGCCGGCCAUGCUGUUCCAGUUCAGGGGCUCCUGCAACAGAAAAGAUCAGCUGUUGGAGAACCCAUGGAAAGCCCUGGGGGAGAGCCAUGGCCGCAAGGUAAUCAGCAGGCAAAGUUAUUACCAUUAUGCUGCUAAUUAAUUCCCAGCUCAUUACGUUUCCUGUGGCUAAUUUGUACUCGCCGCUGAUUUGAUUAAACUCAUCUCUAUGCUAAUAAAUGUGUUUUCCAUUUGUUUUAGCGACUGUAGGAAGAGAGCCCGGUAUUUACAUAUUUUGACGUUUAUCAAAUAAAACGCGGCGCCUGAA